Molecule: long non-coding RNA, 679 nt
Filed under: Olea europaea subsp. europaea
Lineage: Eukaryota; Viridiplantae; Streptophyta; Magnoliopsida; Lamiales; Oleaceae
Source: RNAcentral
CAAUUAUCAGAAAUGUGACGAAAACAAUUUAAAUAAAUAAAAUUUGUCCCCGUCCUUGAAACUUGUGUAUAUAUAUAACUUUUAUACCCCUUAACCACUCCUCGUUGUACCCCUUCCCCUAAAAAAAUUCCUCUUAUUUUAGUCCUUCUCCCUCAAGUUUUCUUAUUACAACCUAAAAUGGGUCGAAAAAACCAAGUAUUUUUAUUGUUCUUGAUUAUACUUGCUUCUGUAGUGUCCUCUACUCAUGGCAGAAGGCUCUUAAACGUGCAACACAAUACAACUAAGAAGACUCUAUUUUUGGACGAAAGUUCUUAUUUGAAUGCCCUUCCCAAUGGUACAAUGCCACCUUCUACACCGAGCAAAAAUGGCAAUUCCGAGACUGUCGACGACAAGCUGGUUGAGUGCAACCUCGUGGCGGUCAACCGCAUUCUCGAGUCGGUUCCUAGCCCUGGAGUGGGACACUAGUCUCGUCACAGAUUCUUUAUUUUCUACAAUCACAAAAUUUGGUAUUCUUUUAUUGCUGGUUAUAGACGCGCUGUAAUCUAUUUUUAUUCUUUUAUUUAUGGGAUUAAAUCAUGAAAGUCGAAUCCCAGCAGAUUGAUAGGUCUUCCAAACGAUUAUUGAAUGAAUAUGUAUGAGUUUGUAUCUAAUCGGCCAAUAAAAAUUAUUACUUUUCUGG